GUCGAGGGGCAGCGGGGAGUGAGGCUUGCCUUACUUUGCCGGCGACCGGCGCACGGGUGAGUAACACGUAUGCAACCUACCCUUUACAGCGGGAUAACCGGAAGAAAUUUCGCCUAAUACCGCAUAUACUCCUUGGGAGGCAUCUUCCGAGGGGGGAAGAAUUUCGGUGAAGGAUGGGCAUGCGUCGCAUUAGUUAGUUGGCGGUGUAACGGACCACCAAGACGACGAUGCGUAGGGGUUCUGAGAGGAAGGUCCCCCACACUGGUACUGAGACACGGACCAGACUCCUACGGGAGGCAGCAGUGAGGAAUAUUGGUCAAUGGCCGAGAGGCUGAACCAGCCAAGUCGCGUGAGGGAAGAAUGUCCUAUGGAUUGUAAACCUCUUUUGUGCGGGAGCAAUAAUGGUCACGUGUGGCCAGACGAGAGUACCGUACGAAUAAGCAUCGGCUAACUCCGUGCCAGCAGCCGCGGUAAUACGGGGGAUGCAAGCGUUAUCCGGAUUUAUUGGGUUUAAAGGGUGCGUAGGCUGUGAGGUAAGUCAGCGGUGAAAUGCCCCCGCUCAACGGGGUGAAGUGCCAUUGAUACUGCCUUGCUGGAAUGCGGAUGCCGUGGGAGGAAUGUGUGGUGUAGCGGUGAAAUGCAUAGAUAUCACACAGAACACCGAUUGCGAAGGCAUCUCACGAAUCCGCGAUUGACGCUGAUGCACGAAAGCGUGGGUAUCAAACAGGAUUAGAUACCCUGGUAGUCCACGCUGUAAACGAUGAUGACUAACCGUC
Molecule: ribosomal RNA, 776 nt
Filed under: uncultured bacterium
Lineage: Bacteria
Description: bacterial SSU rRNA
Rfam family: Bacterial small subunit ribosomal RNA
Source: RNAcentral